UUUAUGGAGAGUUUGAUCCUGGCUCAGGAUGAACGCUGGCGGCGUGCCUAAUACAUGCAAGUCGAGCGAACGGACGAGAAGCUUGCUUCUCUGAUGUUAGCGGCGGACGGGUGAGUAACACGUGGAUAACCUACCUAUAAGACUGGGAUAACUUCGGGAAACCGGAGCUAAUACCGGAUGAUAUUUUGAACCGCAUGGUUCAAAAGUGAAAGACGGUCUUGCUGUCACUUAUAGAUGGAUCCGCGCUGCAUUAGCUAGUUGGUAAGGUAACGGCUUACCAAGGCAACGAUGCAUAGCCGACCUGAGAGGGUGAUCGGCCACACUGGAACUGAGACACGGUCCAGACUCCUACGGGAGGCAGCAGUAGGGAAUCUUCCGCAAUGGGCGAAAGCCUGACGGAGCAACGCCGCGUGAGUGAUGAAGGUCUUCGGAUCGUAAAACUCUGUUAUUAGGGAAGAACAUAUGUGUAAGUAACUGUGCACAUCUUGACGGUACCUAAUCAGAAAGCCACGGCUAACUACGUGCCAGCAGCCGCGGUAAUACGUAGGUGGCAAGCGUUAUCCGGAAUUAUUGGGCGUAAAGCGCGCGUAGGCGGUUUUUUAAGUCUGAUGUGAAAGCCCACGGCUCAACCGUGGAGGGUCAUUGGAAACUGGAAAACUUGAGUGCAGAAGAGGAAAGUGGAAUUCCAUGUGUAGCGGUGAAAUGCGCAGAGAUAUGGAGGAACACCAGUGGCGAAGGCGACUUUCUGGUCUGUAACUGACGCUGAUGUGCGAAAGCGUGGGGAUCAAACAGGAUUAGAUACCCUGGUAGUCCACGCCGUAAACGAUGAGUGCUAAGUGUUAGGGGGUUUCCGCCCCUUAGUGCUGCAGCUAACGCAUUAAGCACUCCGCCUGGGGAGUACGACCGCAAGGUUGAAACUCAAAGGAAUUGACGGGGACCCGCACAAGCGGUGGAGCAUGUGGUUUAAUUCGAAGCAACGCGAAGAACCUUACCAAAUCUUGACAUCCUUUGACAACUCUAGAGAUAGAGCCUUCCCCUUCGGGGGACAAAGUGACAGGUGGUGCAUGGUUGUCGUCAGCUCGUGUCGUGAGAUGUUGGGUUAAGUCCCGCAACGAGCGCAA
This 1121-nucleotide ribosomal RNA is filed under the name Staphylococcus aureus. RNAcentral describes it as "bacterial SSU rRNA". It matches the Rfam family "Bacterial small subunit ribosomal RNA", at positions 1 to 1101 of the family's 1533-position model. Lineage: Bacteria; Bacillati; Bacillota; Bacilli; Caryophanales; Staphylococcaceae. The record is from RNAcentral.